This 279-nucleotide small nuclear RNA is filed under the name Castor canadensis (American beaver). RNAcentral's name for it is "7SK RNA (ENSCCNG00000013408.1)". It matches the Rfam family "7SK RNA". From Rfam's summary of the family: 7SK was discovered as an abundant small nuclear RNA in the mid-70s but a possible function has only recently been suggested. Two independent studies have found that 7SK RNA binds the CDK9/cyclin T complex (known as elongation factor P-TEFb). Lineage: Eukaryota; Metazoa; Chordata; Mammalia; Rodentia; Castoridae. The record is from RNAcentral.
AGAUGGGAGGGCCAUCUGGCUGCAACAUCUGUCACCCCAUUUGUCACAAAGGUUGGUUCGGCUGAUGUGGCUGGCUAGGCAGGUAUUCCCUUCCUCCCUUACUGUUCCAUGUGCAUCCCUCCCAAAGCUGCACACUUGAUCAAAGAGGAUGAUCUUCCCCAAUAGAAUAGGACCGGUCUUUGGUCAAGGAUAUACAAGGAACAGUGAUCCUGUACUAGAACCCCCAAUCAAGCUCAGGAGGUGCAGGUAGAGGAAGAUCACUACCCGAGGCUGGCCUGG